RNAcentral lists this long non-coding RNA (1069 nucleotides) under Homo sapiens (human). RNAcentral describes it as "HSALNT0129989". Lineage: Eukaryota; Metazoa; Chordata; Mammalia; Primates; Hominidae. The record is from RNAcentral.
GUUAGCUAUUGGCGGAACUCAAACAGUUGUCACAGCAAGCUGCUGGUUGGAAUCAUCAGAUCAGAAACUAGUAAUAUGAGUCACCCUUAACUUCCAGAACACCUUUCUCCAAGGCCAGAUGCAAAACUCUCAGUGACUCUGCCGCUAUGACAAGAACAAAGAAAUAUUGAUGAGAUCUUGAAGACAUCUGCCACGGCCAACAUAACCUUAUCUUUGCAGCCUUAUGCAGGUGCUGACACAUGAGUGUGCAGGGAGAAUGAAUGGCUUCCUGGUUAUAAGAAAAGAAGAAAACACAGAGAAGUAGGUUCAUUCAUUCCACACACAUUCAUUUUCAACUCAUUUUCAGUUAACGAAGAAACGAUUGUGUCAUUGAAUAUACCAUGAGGUGUUUUCUUCUUGAUCAUCCUAUGAACCAGAAUUGUUAGGCUCAUUUUAAAGAUGAAGGAGCUGAGGCCAAGAACACCUAAGUGAUGGACUUCAGCUCAGAAAGAGAGGAAGAGACACAGGUAGAAUAAGAAACCAUGUCUUAGGACCCCCACCAGCUCAGGCCUCUUCUCCUCGUCCUUUUCCCCAAGCCUCACAGCUGGGAUCCUCCCCUCAUCGGAGGCCUCCAUACUCACACGCUCCAGGACAGGGCUGACCAGGAAGGCUGGGCCCAGCAGGAACUGACUGUCUAUGUCCCAUGUCACCUGGUCUGACACAAACCUGGAAAGGGAAAUGAAGGUGCCCAACAGAGCCCAACAGAGCCCCAGCCCGACACUCUGAAGAAGCUCCUCAAGUUCAGAUCCAAGUCGGAAAUACAGCUGCCCCUGAGCCAUCCUUGCCUUUUUCCUAGGCCUAGCUUCAUCAGGAGCACCCAGCCUCUGCUUUCCCCAUGGGAUGUGCCUCAAACUUCAGAAAUGCUGGGAUGUAGAUGUAUUCUCUCUUGUAAAAUACUUGCCCCAUUUCUCAACCAUGGCAAACUUCAAAUGCAAGGAUGGCCCUUUUCCCUCAAAUCUCUUCCUGAAAUCCUUCUCCUGUGAUCUGGCUACAUAUAACCAAACUGCUACAAAAGAUAGAUAGGCCUUUG